This is a regulatory RNA element of 93 nucleotides. It matches the Rfam family "PyrR binding site". From Rfam's summary of the family: This family represents the PyrR binding site and terminator structure. This RNA structure is found upstream of a variety of genes involved in pyrimidine biosynthesis and transport. The record is from Rfam.
AAUUCCUUUUAAGUGCAGUCCAGAGAGGCUGACAAAGGAGCGACUAUCGGGAUUUAAUGGCCUCGCUCUGUUUUGGAGUGGGCCUUUUUUGUU